Molecule: ribosomal RNA, 449 nt
Filed under: uncultured bacterium
Lineage: Bacteria
Description: partial 16S ribosomal RNA
Rfam family: Bacterial small subunit ribosomal RNA
Source: RNAcentral
AACGAACGCUGGCGGCAUGCCUAACACAUGCAAGUCGAACGACGGCAUCGGCCUCAGUGGCGUACGCGUGCGUAACGGGUGGGAAACUGCCCUUUGGCUCGGAAUAACCAGGAGAAAUGCGCGCCAAUACCGGCUCAUGUCUAAAGACCCAGGAUUUAUCGCCCUAGGAUGGGCGCGCGGAGGAUUAGCUAGCUGGUGAGGUAUAGGCGCACCAAGGGGACGUGCCUUCGCUGGUCUGUGAGGAUGUUCAGCCGCACUGGGGCUGAGACACGGCCCAGACUCCUACGGGAGGCAGCAGUGGGGAAUAUUGGACAAUGGGCGAAAGCCUGAUCCAGCAAUGCCGCGUGAGUGAUGAAGGACUUAGGGUUGUAAAACUCUUCUACCCGGGAUGAUAAUGACAGUACCGUGAGAAUAAGCCCCGGCUAACUCCGUGCCAGCCGCCGCCGUAA